UACGUAGGUGGCAAGCGUUGUCCGGAUUUACUGGGCGUAAAGAGCGCGCAGGCGGUCGUUCAAGUCGCGUGUGAAAGCCCCCGGCUCAACUGGGGAGGGUCACGCGAUACUGAUCGACUCGAAGGCAGGAGAGGGAAGUGGAAUUCCCGGUGUAGUGGUGAAAUGCGUAGAUAUCAGGAGGAACACCAGCGGCGAAGGCGGUGCUCUGGGCCGGAACUGACGCUGAGGAGCGAAAGCGUGGGGAGCGAACAGG
RNAcentral lists this ribosomal RNA (253 nucleotides) under uncultured bacterium. RNAcentral's name for it is "partial 16S ribosomal RNA". It matches the Rfam family "Bacterial small subunit ribosomal RNA", at positions 524 to 776 of the family's 1533-position model. The record is from RNAcentral.